UUGCGCUUAUUCAUGACGGAACCGAACCUUUGCUGGCUCCAGCAAGGUCUGACACUGUCCAAAUUAGGACAGUUGAAUCACCAAUGAUGUUAACAAAUUUGACACGUGGCCCCUCCCCCAUAUGCGACACGCAAUUCAUUAAGUGCCAUGCAGUACUCCUGUCAAACAAGUGCUUUCCCGGUUUUAUUUAGAUUAAUGUGUAUAUUAAAACAUUUUCCGUCUUUUAAUAAUCUAUGUUGCAUUUCAUACCCCAAAAUCAGUAUGCAUAGACAGGAGCAAAGGCGAUUCUAUAAUGCAGUAUCAAUCUCCUCAUUAUACCUAGGUUACUUAUGCAAUGAAAUCAAGCGUUCAUUUGAAUGCUAAUAGUGGCAAUAUUCUUCGUUUUACCGAACUCACUCAGUGCAGGUAUGGGAGGCUGGAGAUGGGAAGGGGAGGCGUGUAGAUUGUUGACGGGAGGGGAAAGCAGUAUCAUGGAUUCGGUCACUCCAGCUGCAGAAGCCUUUUUCGCACAACUCCGUGUUGACUUUCAGAGCGCUGCGCUAUGCCCGGAAGAGGCUAUGUAGAAGGCCAUGCCGGAGGCUAACACUCACGACAGCAUUCUCAGUGGGUUAUCGGCAGUAAAUGCAGCUGUGCUGGUGUCGCGUGUUCCGUGGCUGCUUCACGUCCCUGGACCCUGGCCAGGAUGCGGAGGAAGAGCACCUAUUUUGUCGAGAGGAGGAAGUAUGCGCUGUGUGAUGGAACAUGCCCUCUCCUAACCAAAAGAACAUGCCUUGGUUUGGAGCCUGUGAGGGGGGCAGGCAGUCAUGCCGUCUUCUCGUCGGCUAACUGGAUUGGUGUGUCUAUAUAUCUUUUUUUUAUAUUAAUGUGCUUUUCACAGCUUCCCUAACC
Long non-coding RNA from Clupea harengus (Atlantic herring), 888 nucleotides. The record is from Ensembl. Lineage: Eukaryota; Metazoa; Chordata; Actinopteri; Clupeiformes; Clupeidae.